Molecule: ribosomal RNA, 503 nt
Filed under: uncultured bacterium
Lineage: Bacteria
Description: bacterial SSU rRNA
Rfam family: Bacterial small subunit ribosomal RNA
Source: RNAcentral
ACGAGUUUGAUCCUGGCUCAGAUUGAACGCUGGCGGAAUGCUUUACACAUGCAAGUCGAGCGGCAGCGCAGGGCAACCUGGCGGCGAGCGGCGAACGGGUGAGUAAUGCAUCGGAACGUACCCAGUCGUGGGGGAUAACUGUCCGAAAGGACAGCUAAUACCGCAUACGUCCUGAGGGAGAAAGCGGGGGAUCGCAAGACCUCGCGCGAUUGGAGCGGCCGAUGCCGGAUUAGCUAGUUGGUAGGGUAAAGGCCUACCAAGGCGACGAUCCGUAGCUGGUCUGAGAGGACGACCAGCCACACUGGAACUGAGACACGGUCCAGACUCCUACGGGAGGCAGCAGUGGGGAAUUUUGGACAAUGGGGGCAACCCUGAUCCAGCCAUUCCGCGUGAGUGAAGAAGGCCUUCGGGUUGUAAAGCUCUUUCGGUGGGGAAGAAAUUGCUUGGGUUAAUACCCUGAGUAGAUGACGGUACCUGCACAAGAAGCACCGGCUAACUACGUG